RNAcentral lists this long non-coding RNA (419 nucleotides) under Brassica napus (rape). Its description in RNAcentral is "long non-coding RNA (BNAP_LNC010324)". Lineage: Eukaryota; Viridiplantae; Streptophyta; Magnoliopsida; Brassicales; Brassicaceae. The record is from RNAcentral.
UGAGCAAGUACAUGAAUUGAACACAGGCAUUUUGGCAAGUACAUGAAUUGCCAUCUCUAACUGUCAUGCAGUUGAACUCUCAUCAAGAUUUACUUUGCUCACCAUAUUAUCUUGUCUUUUAGUAUAGAUGAAAAGGUGAUGUCAAAAACAAAAUAGUAUAGAUCAAAAGGUUUGUUUAUUUUUAGUUCAAAUAAUAAAAAGUAACUAAAUUAAUUGAUUAUUAUUAAAAAUUAUUAAAAAAUUUAUCCAAAAUAUUUAAAUUGUCCAAUACUUUUAUCCAAAUGAUCGGAAUCAUUUAAAUCAUCAAAUAUUUUUAUCCAAACAAAUUGACAUUGCCUUAGUAUCGAACCUGUAAUGUAGGCCUGUACAUUUUAACCUGAACCUGAAAACCCGAACUGGAACCUAUCCGAAAAUAUCCG